This 1127-nucleotide long non-coding RNA is filed under the name Oryctolagus cuniculus (rabbit). RNAcentral describes it as "lncRNA (ENSOCUG00000032060.1)". Lineage: Eukaryota; Metazoa; Chordata; Mammalia; Lagomorpha; Leporidae. The record is from RNAcentral.
AGGUGGGGCUGUGAGGCCAGCAACUCGCACAGUGAGAGGCAAGGCAGAGGCUUUAGGAACGCAGAGCUAGGGGCUGGCAUUUGGCCUAGUCUGAGUGCCUGGGUUCGAGUCUGGCUCCGCUUCCAAAUCCAGCUUCCUGUUAAUGCACACCCUGGGAGGCAGCAUCGAUGGCUCAAGGCCUGGGGUCCCUGCCACCCAGGUGGGAGACCUGGAUGGAGUUCCUGGCUCCUGGCUUCCACCUGGCCCAGUCACAGCUGUUCUGGGUACUGGAGAGGUAAACCAGUGUUCUCUCUCUCGCCCCAUCAGAUCACCUGGCAGCUUGUUAGGCUGCUUCACGCUGUCUCAGGGCUGCCACGUACCGUCCAGCUCCACAAGGACGCACCUGGGCUCCAGCGCCCUGGGGUUCCCGGGUCUGAAGGUCGAUGGGCCUGUGUUCUAAAGCCAAGGACAAACACACAGAUGGCAGUGUCGACGUGGGCCACACAGGCAAGCACGGGCCUCAGCUCUGCUCCCGGAGAACGUCACCGAGACAAACCACGGCUUCGGGGCCACUGGAAAAGGGAUACCCUACCACACUCUGACGCCUGCAGACGUGUGACAGCUCCGUCAGAGGUCUUGGUGACAACAGGAAAGCCGGAGCCGUGGUUUCACGGGCAAUGCAUCUUCUCUGUUUCCAGUGGCGCCUCUUAGAACACGCGACCCUGCGUCCCACGGAACGCGCUUCAAUGGGAACGUCUAAGAGGAAGGCGGUGAGCACCCACGGGGCAAUGAACCAAGCCCGUGCCGUCUAUGGCUUAAAGCCAAACAAGAGCCAAGUGGCCAGGGCUUUAUUGAAGAUGCGGAGAGAAUACUGCCAACCUGCACACACGGGGACUCUAUGCUGAGACACCAAGCAGGACACGGAAAAUCUCCCCUCGUUUAAGCACGUGAAAAGACAUGGAGGGGGCAGGCAUUGCGGCGCACAGGGUUAAGCCACCACUUGGGGCCCCUAUCCAAUCCCAGUUCCUGCUAAUGCGCGAGGGAAAGCAACAGAAGAUGGCCCCAGGAUUUGGGUUUCUGCUAUGCACGUGGAAGACCCAGAUGGAGUUCCUAGCUCCUGGCUAUGUCCUGGCUCAGCCACGGCCGUU